This 70-nucleotide transfer RNA is filed under the name Sphaerodactylus townsendi. RNAcentral describes it as "tRNA-Val". Lineage: Eukaryota; Metazoa; Chordata; Lepidosauria; Squamata; Sphaerodactylidae. The record is from RNAcentral.
GCUGUGGCUCAAUGAAUAAAGCAUCUGUUUCACAUGCAGAAGGUCGUAAGUUCAAUCCCUGGUUUCUGCU